UACUCGUUCCGUUGAUCCAUC
RNAcentral lists this microRNA (21 nucleotides) under Eugenia uniflora (Surinam cherry). RNAcentral describes it as "eun-miR10213-5p". The record is from miRBase by way of RNAcentral. Lineage: Eukaryota; Viridiplantae; Streptophyta; Magnoliopsida; Myrtales; Myrtaceae.